GAAAGCGUGGGGAUCAAACAGGAUUAGAUACCCUGGUAGUCCACGCUGUAAACGAUGAUCACUCGUUGUUGGCGAUACACAGUCAGCGACCAAGCGAAAGUGAUAAGUGAUCCACCUGGGGAGUACGAUCGCAAGGUUGAAACUCAAAGGAAUUGACGGGGGCCCGCACAAGCGGUGGAGCAUGUGGUUUAAUUCGAUGAUACGCGAGGAACCUUACCUGGGCUCAAACGUAGUAUGACAGUCGCGGAAACGUGAUCUUCUUCGGACACAUUACGAGGUGCUGCAUGGUUGUCGUCAGCUCGUGCCGUGAGGUGUCGGGUUAAGUCCCAUAACGAGCGCAACCCCUAUCUUUAGUUGCCAUCAGGUAAUGCUGGGGACUCUAAAGAAACUGCCUACGCAAGUAGUGAGGAAGGCGGGGAUGACGUCAAAUCAGCACGGCCCUUACGUCCAGGGCUACACACGUGCUACAAUGGCCAGUACAAAGGGCAGCUACCUGGUGACAGGAUGCUAAUCUCUAAAGCUGGUCUCAGUUCGGAUCGAAGUCUGCAACCCGACUUCGUGAAGCUGGAAUCGCUAGUAAUCGCGCAUCAGCCAUGGCGCGGUGAAUACGUUCCCGGGCCUUGUACACACCGCCCGUCAAGCCAUGGAAGCUGGGGGUACCUGAAGUCGGUGACCGUAAUAGGAACUGCCUAGGGUAAACUUAGUAACUGGGGCUAAGUCGUAACAAGGUA
This 731-nucleotide ribosomal RNA is filed under the name uncultured bacterium. Its description in RNAcentral is "SSU rRNA". It matches the Rfam family "Bacterial small subunit ribosomal RNA", at positions 755 to 1498 of the family's 1533-position model. The record is from RNAcentral.